This 69-nucleotide antisense RNA is filed under the name Streptomyces sp. yr375. Its description in RNAcentral is "ASpks TB sRNA". It matches the Rfam family "ASpks TB sRNA". Lineage: Bacteria; Bacillati; Actinomycetota; Actinomycetes; Kitasatosporales; Streptomycetaceae. The record is from Rfam by way of RNAcentral.
CUUCAACGAGCCCAGCCACAGCGGCACUUCACGGUCCUGCCCGUACGUCGCGAGCAGCGCCUGCGCCUC